CUGUCUCUACUAUACAAAUAAAAACUAGACUCUAAGUGAAAAUACUUAAAUAAAAAUAAAGGACAAAAAGACCCUAUAGAGCUGUAUUUAUAAAAACACAUAAAGUACUAUAUACUUAACACAUUUUAUAAUAAAUUUUGUUGGGGCGACAUAGGAAUAUUAAAAUCUUCCUUAAAUAUAAAGAAAACAAUUCUUACAAAAGAUCCUAAAAAGAUCAAAGGAAAAAGCUACCUUAGGGAUAACAGACUAAUCUCCUUA
RNAcentral lists this ribosomal RNA (258 nucleotides) under Glycera sp. MB1. RNAcentral's name for it is "partial 16S ribosomal RNA". Lineage: Eukaryota; Metazoa; Annelida; Polychaeta; Phyllodocida; Glyceridae. The record is from RNAcentral.